UUUGCUGCUACUGCUGUAGGUGCUUCUGCCAUGGUCUUGCAGGACAUCUUCUAGUUGUGGAAAUGAUUUGUUUGUUUGGGUGACUGAACAGAAGACUGGAUGGUUCAUAUUGGAAAGGUGCUGUUGUUAUGGUUACCUGUGUUGUGGAUGAUGAGGUUGCUGGUGUAGGAGACCUGAACAUUACUGGCUACUGUUCAUUACUAGAAGAGAAUGCAGAGGAUUGUCAAGAUGUACAUUGUACAUGUCCAUCUGUUCAGACAGUACACAAGGUGAAUGAAGAUGGAACAUAUCCAUUUCAUCAAAAUUGUUCUCUUCUCAAUUGUUUUAUUUUGAUCUUGAAACUGCUACCUUCCUUGUUGGAGAAGUAACGUUGUCCCCCCUCCCUUAUCACCCCUCCCCCUUAUCAUCCCUCCCCCUCCCCUCCCCUCCUCCUUAUCACCCCUC
This is a long non-coding RNA of Sycon ciliatum, 444 nucleotides long. RefSeq lists it as uncharacterized. The transcript is spliced from 3 exons. The record is from RefSeq and is a predicted model, not a curated record. Lineage: Eukaryota; Metazoa; Porifera; Calcarea; Leucosolenida; Sycettidae.